CCGCGCUGACACCGUCUCCCGAACUUUCCGUCACGGCGGGACAACCGUCAAAGUAAAUGUCCGCUUUCUGAUUUAUUUCCAUUUCCCUCCGAGGGAAGUUGGGGCGUUUGUGAAGCGUCUCCUGCGGCCGGAGUCUGAUGUGUCGCUGAGAGAUUCACAGGUGAAGUGUCGCCUCACCUGGAAGGAUGUUUGGACAACGGAGAGAGUUCGGCCGUCCGGCCCUUUCACUGUGACACCCCGAACUCCACAUCAAAUCCGUCCACACGAAUCUGGGUGAACUUUAAUGACCAAUAAAUAUAAUUCCUCUCAGCGA
Molecule: long non-coding RNA, 313 nt
Organism: Mobula hypostoma (lesser devil ray)
Lineage: Eukaryota; Metazoa; Chordata; Chondrichthyes; Myliobatiformes; Myliobatidae
Exons: 2
Source: RefSeq, a predicted model, not a curated record